Long non-coding RNA from Humulus lupulus (European hop), 795 nucleotides. RefSeq lists it as uncharacterized. The record is from RefSeq and is a predicted model, not a curated record. The transcript is spliced from 2 exons. NCBI's taxonomy places the organism in Eukaryota, Viridiplantae, Streptophyta, Magnoliopsida, Rosales, Cannabaceae.
AUUACUCUCUCAGACACACUCUCUCUCCUCUCUAUUCUCUCCUGCUUCUCCUUUAUUCUAUCUUUCCCUAGCAGUCGACCCUAGAUUCUUCUUCUCGCCUGCAUCAGCCACGAUCUUGAGGUCUAACGAUGUGCGUGUUGACUGAAGGUGCGGAGCUUGGGGUCUAACGAUGUGUGUGUGCUUCGGUCGGAGCUUGUGGCCUGGUGCGACAAGGGAGGUGCCUGGUGCAACGGGAAGAAAGAAGCAAGUUGAGGCGCUUGGUGCGACAGGAAGAAAGAAGCAAGCCGAGGCGCCUAGUGUGACGGGAAGAAGGAAAAGCUUAUACCUAGAUUUGCGAUAGAUUUUUUGGUUUGUUGUUGAAGGAGGAGUUUUGUUCUCGGAGGAGUUUUGGUUUGUUACCUAGAUUUGUGACGAAGCACCUUCAAAUGCAAGCUAAGGAAGACGACAGAGGCACAAGAAGAUAGAUAGAGAAAGGUUGUUUCUCAGUUAUCCAAGCAGGAGGGCUUUUAAGUUUGACUUUGAAUUAGUUUCAUUUAGAUGUUGAAUAUGACGGCUUGAUUUAAUCCAUGCAUUCUUUAAGAGUUCCUUGUAUUUUAUCGAAUUAGGUUCUUUUGUAGAGAAUGUUACAAGUUUGUUGUCCAAUUUUCCUAAGGUGUCCUUAAUCUAUGUUUGAUUUACAUAUUGAUUAGUUGUGUAUGCUCUUAAGGUGGACGAAAAACUUGUAUAUCUAGAGAAUUUCUUAUUUUUUGUUGCUGUAUUACACUCUUAUUAUGAUUUUUAAUGAAAUAUUCAUUA